This 828-nucleotide ribosomal RNA is filed under the name uncultured bacterium. Its description in RNAcentral is "bacterial SSU rRNA". It matches the Rfam family "Bacterial small subunit ribosomal RNA", at positions 61 to 876 of the family's 1533-position model. The record is from RNAcentral.
GUCGAGCGGAUUCAUUCCUUCGGGGAUGGGUUAGCGGCGGACGGGUGAGUAACACGUAGGCAACCUGCCUAUAAGCCUGGGAUAACUUCCGGAAACGGAUGCUAAUACCGGAUACGUUGAUUCUUCGCAUGAAGAGUCAUGGAAAGACGGCGCAAGCUGUCACUUAUGGAUGGGCCUGCGGCGCAUUAGCUAGUUGGUGGGGUAACGGCUCACCAAGGCGACGAUGCGUAGCCGACCUGAGAGGGUGAUCGGCCACACUGGGACUGAGACACGGCCCAGACUCCUACGGGAGGCAGCAGUAGGGAAUCUUCGGCAAUGGACGCAAGUCUGACCGAGCAACGCCGCGUGAGUGAUGAAGGGUUUCGGCUCGUAAAACUCUGUUGCCAGAGAAGAACGUCCAGGAGAGUAACUGCUCUUGGAGUGACGGUAUCUGAGAAGAAAGCCCCGGCUAACUACGUGCCAGCAGCCGCGGUAAUACGUAGGGGGCAAGCGUUGUCCGGAAUUAUUGGGCGUAAAGCGCGCGCAGGCGGUUGUUUAAGUCUGGGGUUUAAGUUCGGGGCUCAACCCCGUAUCGCCCUGGAAACUGGGGAACUGGAGUGUAGGAGAGGAAAGUGGAAUUCCACGUGUAGCGGUGAAAUGCGUAGAGAUGUGGAGGAACACCAGUGGCGAAGGCGACUUUCUGGCCUAUAACUGACGCUGAGGCGCGAAAGCGUGGGGAGCAAACAGGAUUAGAUACCCUGGUAGUCCACGCCGUAAACGAUGCACGCUAGGUGUUGGGGGUUUCAAUACCCUCGGUGCCGAAGUUAACACAUUAAGCGUGCCGCCUGG